Molecule: ribosomal RNA, 253 nt
Filed under: uncultured bacterium
Lineage: Bacteria
Description: partial 16S ribosomal RNA
Rfam family: Bacterial small subunit ribosomal RNA
Source: RNAcentral
GACGUAGGGCGCGAGCGCUGUCCGGAUUUAUUGGGCGUAAAGAGCGUGUAGGCGGCCAUGUAGGUCCGUUGUGAAAACUCGAGGCUCAACCUCGAGACGCCGAUGGAAACCAUGUGGCUAGAGUCCGGAAGAGGAGAGUGGAAUUCCUGGUGUAGCGGUGAAAUGCGCAGAUAUCAGGAAGAACACCCGUGGCUAAGGCGGCUCUCUAGUACGGUACUGACGCUGAGACGCGAAAGCGUGGGGAGCGAACAGG